RNAcentral lists this ribosomal RNA (375 nucleotides) under uncultured organism. Its description in RNAcentral is "partial 16S ribosomal RNA". It matches the Rfam family "Bacterial small subunit ribosomal RNA", at positions 527 to 896 of the family's 1533-position model. The record is from RNAcentral.
GUAGGUGGCAAGCGUUGUCCGGAAUUAUUGGGCGUAAAGCGCGCGCAGGCGGUUCUUUAAGUCUGAUGUGAAAGCCCACGGCUCAACCGUGGAGGGUCAUUGGAAACUGGAGAACUUGAGUACAGAAGAGGAAGGCGGAAUUCCACGUGUAGCGGUGAAAUGCGUAGAGAUGUGGAGGAACACCAGUGGCGAAGGCGGCUUUCUGGUCUGUAACUGACGCUGAGGCGCGAAAGCGUGGGGAGCAAACAGGGAUUAGAUACCCUGGUAGUCCACGCCGUAAACGAUGAGUGCUAAGUGUUAGGGGGUUUCCCGCCCCCCUUAGUGCUGCAGCUAACGCAUUAAGCACUCCGCCUGGGGAGUACGGCCGCAAGGCUG